RNAcentral lists this transfer RNA (65 nucleotides) under Ictidomys tridecemlineatus (thirteen-lined ground squirrel). RNAcentral's name for it is "Spermophilus tridecemlineatus (thirteen-lined ground squirrel) tRNA". It matches the Rfam family "tRNA". Rfam says of the family: Transfer RNA (tRNA) molecules are approximately 80 nucleotides in length. Their secondary structure includes four short double-helical elements and three loops (D, anti-codon, and T loops). Further hydrogen bonds mediate the characteristic L-shaped molecular structure. tRNAs have two regions of fundamental functional importance: the anti-codon, which is responsible for specific mRNA codon recognition, and the 3' end, to which the tRNAs corresponding amino acid is attached (by aminoacyl-tRNA synthetases). tRNAs cope with the degeneracy of the genetic code in two manners: having more than one tRNA (with a specific anti-codon) for a particular amino acid; and 'wobble' base-pairing, i.e. permitting non-standard base-pairing at the 3rd anti-codon position. Lineage: Eukaryota; Metazoa; Chordata; Mammalia; Rodentia; Sciuridae. The record is from Rfam by way of RNAcentral.
AAUGUAGCUCAGAGGUAGAGUGCUUGUCUAGGAUGCAUGAGGCACUGGGUUCCAUCCCCAGCAUU